RNAcentral lists this ribosomal RNA (478 nucleotides) under uncultured bacterium. Its description in RNAcentral is "partial 16S ribosomal RNA". It matches the Rfam family "Bacterial small subunit ribosomal RNA", at positions 28 to 523 of the family's 1533-position model. The record is from RNAcentral.
GACGAACGCUGGCGGCGUGCUUAACACAUGCAAGUCGAACGGUAAGGCCCUUCGGGGUACACGAGUGGCGAACGGGUGAGUAACACGUGGGUGAUCUGCCCUGCACUCUGGGAUAAGCCUGGGAAACUGGGUCUAAUACCGGAUAUGAGCUCCUGUCGCAUGGCGGGGGUUGGAAAGGUUUACUGGUGCAGGAUGGGACGGCGGCCUAUCAGCUUGUUGGGGGGGUAAUGGCCUACCAAGGCGACGACGGGUAGCCGGCCUGGGAGGGUGACCGGGCACACUGGGACUGAGACACGGCCCCGACUCCUACGGGAGGAAGCAGUGGGGAAUAUUGCACAAUGGGCGAAAGCCUGAUGCAGCGACGCCGCGUGAGGGAUGACGGCCUUCGGGUUGUAAACCUCUUUCAGCAGGGACGAAGCGAGAGUGACGGUACCUGCAGAAGAAGCACCGGCCAACUACGUGCCAGCCGCCGCCGUAA